RNAcentral lists this long non-coding RNA (1101 nucleotides) under Nicotiana benthamiana. Its description in RNAcentral is "long non-coding RNA (NBEN_LNC035683)". Lineage: Eukaryota; Viridiplantae; Streptophyta; Magnoliopsida; Solanales; Solanaceae. The record is from RNAcentral.
UUCAACAUUUCUUUUCUCUGUAUAAACUCUCUCUCUAUUCUAGAGAGUUCCAAACACUCUGCCUUCUCUCUACUUUCUCUCUCUAUAUUUUUCAUGACUUCUCUGUCUAAUAUCAAUGUUUACAUGGUAUCAGAGCCUAGACGACGAUCCGAUUAUGUUUCUCUACAUUUCGGUUUAAUCUGAAUGUUAACAUGGUAUCAGAGCCUAGAUGACGAUUCGACUACUUUUCUCUACAUCUCGUUGUCUUGGUUGAACUCUUUUUGAGAUUUUUUGGGGAUUUUUCUGAGACCUUAUGGUCAAUGAUGCUUCUGACCUAGAUCGGAUGCUUUUCCGAGUUUUUCGUCAUGAUAUCUGAGUGUAUUUUCUUCACCCGAACAUUCUGAGAGUUUUUCUGCUGAUUUCGGGUGGUUUCUCGGUGACCUAUCGGCUUCUAGGGUUUCUGGUGGUUUAACCUAGGGUUCUACUGCUUUCCGGUGGCUCGAUACUCACUCAGUGGACGUUUUGAGUGCCUCUCCGACAUUACUGACCACAUUUCCAGUAAGGAUUUCGAAGGUUACUCCUAGGGUUUUAUACCUAGGGUUUUUCUCUGUUGUUUGAAGGCCGAUCUUCUCCGGUCGCGAAGAAAGAGGGUAACUCUGUCCUUAUCUUCGGUGUUGUAUGUGAUUAUCUGACUCUUUGUAUGUGAGCAUCUGGUGUUGUAUGUGAAUACCUGAUUUGGUUAUACUCUGUUUGUUGGUUGUUGUGUGUGAAUACCUGAUUUGGUUAUACUCUGUUUGUUGAAAAUUGUUCUUUUAAGCCGGUUCAUUGACUAUGGCUUCUACAAAUACUGGUGUCUCCUCCUCUGUAGACUCUUCUAGUCCCCUUUUUGUAUAUUCUUCUGAUGUCCCUGGGGUCUCUCUUGUUCCCACUCCCUUCUUGGGUAGUGGUUAUGGGGGCUGGAGACGUAAAAUGAUUGUUGCUUUAUCAGCCAAAAACAAAAUUGGUUUUGUUGAUGGCACAUACUUUCCCCCUCCAACUUGAGGGGGGGUGUUGAGAUAAGAGAAACUACAUGAUUUAGCUUUGUCUAGACUUGUACAUUUUGUGUAUACUCAGUGUAUAUUU